Long non-coding RNA from Oncorhynchus keta (chum salmon), 3622 nucleotides. RefSeq lists it as uncharacterized. The transcript has 3 exons. The record is from RefSeq and is a predicted model, not a curated record. Lineage: Eukaryota; Metazoa; Chordata; Actinopteri; Salmoniformes; Salmonidae.
UGGAAUGCACAUUCAACAGACUGACUAGGAACACCGCGCUGCAUACUUAGAAACGGAUCUAUUUAAAAGACAGAAAUGUGUUUUUAUGGAUACAAUUGUGAUUUAGCAUCGAAACUCAUCGUCUUGAAUAAAAAGAUUAUAGUCUAUUAUCUGGGGAAACUCCAAAUACACAGUGUUCUUUGGAUGAAAACUGUAAAGUUCUCAAUAAUAUGGUAUUGUUGAUAUAUUAUACUAAUAUACUGGCAUGGACAGAAUGGAGUGAUACAGUGAAGGGAGAGAUAUCAUGGACCCAGUUUACCCUGAGGGCUAUUGUGUUCACUGGGUCAAAACAUUCCAGAGAAGUUAUCUCCGCUUAAAAACCAGUUGAAGUCAGCUCAGCACUCUGCUGCUUCGCACUCCGUAGCCGGGGUUACUCUAGGGCGUUCCACUUUGGCCCAAAUACUGAGCUAGAGUUCUGGGCUCCUCACUUUUCACUCUGUUCCGUCCCUCCCUGCCCAGCUUGAAUUUGUAAUCUUCUUAUUUAAACAUUAACGUCUCUGUGUUUGUGUUCCGUUAGUUAGUUAGCACAGUGACAAGAGUAGCUACCGGAUACAUGGUAAAGUAGCAACAUUACCCCUUGGAGGGGGGGGGUACUAGAAGGUAGUUUCACCCAUAACUAGGGCCAUAACCCUAUACUAUUUGAAGAAAACUUAUACCUACAACUUUGUCUGUCCCUGUAGGAGAACCCUUUUGGGUUCCAGGUAAAACUCAACUGGUAACACAAACUAGACAGGAAACACUUAGCUGCCCCAGAGGCUCCUGGGAGCAGGUCAGGGGGGACGUGGUAUGUGUUGAAGAGACGUCCCCACAGCAUAGAGACGACCCCAGUGCAUAGAGACGACCCCAGAGCAAAUAACCAAGGAGUGGUGACGAGCUCUAAUCAUCCUGACUUCAGGAAACAAGAGACUGGAGAUGUGCCUUAGCAACAGUACUGAGUGAGAGUACUGCCAUGAAAGACCAGAGGGAUAGCCCCUAAAGGUACUGUCUGUCUGCACUUGGCCCCUAACUACUUAGUGAGAGUACUGCCAUGAAAGACCAGAGGGAUAGCCCCUAAAGGUACUGUCUGUCUGCACUUGGCCCCUAACUACUGAGUGAGAGUACAGCCAUGAAAGACCAGAGGGAUAGCCCCUAAAGGUACUGUCUGUCUGCACUUGGCCCCUAACUACUUAGUGAGAGUACUGCCAUACAAGACCAGAGGGAUAGCCCCUAAAGGUACUGUCUGUCUGCACUUGGCCCCUAACUACUUAGUGAGAGUACAGCCAUGCAAGACCAGAGGGAUAGCCCCUAAAGGUACUGUCUGUCUCCACUUGGCCCCUAACUACUGAGUGAGAGUACAGCCAUGAAAGACCAGAGGGAUAGCCCCUAAAGGUACUGUCUGUCUCCACUUGGCCCCUAACUACUGAGUGAGAGUACAGCCAUGCAAGACCAGAGGGAUAGCCCCUAAAGGUACUGUCUGUCUCCACUUGGCCCCUAACUACUGAGUGAGAGUACAGCCAUGCAAGACCAGAGGGAUAGCCCCUAAAGGUACUGUCUGUCUCCACUUGGCCCCUAACUACUGAGUGAGAGUACUGCCAUGCAAGACCAGAGGGAUAGCCCCUAAAGGUACUGUCUGUCUGCACUUGGCCCCUAACUACUGAGUGAGAGUACUGCCAUGAAAGACCAGAGGGAUAGCCCCUAAAGGUACUGUCUGUCUCCACUUGGCCCCUAACUACUGAGUGAGAGUACUGCCAUGAAAGACCAGAGGGAUAGCCCCUAAAGGUACUGUCUGUCUGCACUUGGCCCCUAACUACUGAGUGAGAGUACAGCCAUGAAAGACCAGAGGGAUAGCCCCUAAAGGUACUGUCUGUCUGCACUUGGCCCCUAACUACUGAGUGAGAGUACAGCCAUGAAAGACCAGAGGGAUAGCCCCUAAAGGUACUGUCUGUCUGCACUUGGCCCCUAACUACUUAGUGAGAGUACAGCCAUGCAAGAAAGAGGGAUAGCCCUGCACUUGGCUUAGGUGGUGACUAUGCUGCGUCUCUGACCUACCAAAACAAUAACAAGUAGGCUACAACAAUACGAGGCAGACUGGCAUCCAGGCUUGUCACUACUGGCCCUGGCUUCUGGUGAGUAAUACUUGAUAGACCCGAGGAGACUGAUGGUUCACCUGUUCCCAAACCUCACUGACUCAACAAACAACCUACAAUCAGACAAACAAAAUGGCUGCCUUUUUCCAAGAAUGACAAAAGACAGUUGGCUACAGAUAACUUCAGGUUGAUAGAAGACGACGUGGAACAAACGUACUGCACUACGUCGGGAAUAGGGCGCGAUUUGGGACACGGAGGACGACUGUCCUGACUGACUGAGUCUAACAACCUGAAAGAAGGAAGCUGCCUGUGGUGUUAUUCAACAGAACCAAAACGGGAAAUGAGAGUCUGGCUGAUCUGGAACUUGACCGACCGACGGGGAAAACAACAAAGAAUGUGGGACACGAGGCGAGCCAGACCACUUUGAGAAGGAGAAUUGUGCGUGCGUCCGCGCGUCAGUGUGAAGAGAAUAGUUUUUAGCGACCUUCGAAAGAACAAACGACUCACCUAGGAAACCCGUCAGUCAGUCAGUCUGGCUGACACAUCAACCCAUUACAUUAAAGCUAGUUUUUGUUACAAACCCGAAAAGAGAAACGCAAUCAGCAUCAUAUCGAUAUAGAACAUACAGUGAGAGAAGAGGAAAAGUCUGUGGAUUUCAUGAGAUUAAAGAGAAGUGUAUAUGUUUCAUGAAUAAGAUUAAAGUGCUUCUGUUGUGACACGAGGCACUAAUUCUAACAAAAUGAACUGUCUCCCCUUUGACAUAAUGGCACUCCACUGUAAGGCUUUAUAUAGGGGAAGGAUUUUAUAGAGGGUCAAUGCAGAGCUGUGAUCUGCUCCUAGACUCCUUUUACACACUGACGUAACCAAUAUUAAAACUGGCUGCUUUUCAAGUCUUGAAGUUAAAACACUGGUAUUUUUAACACUGACACCUUUCUCCACGUUUGGCCAGACUGUUCACGUGACUCGUUUUAAUUUGCCCACAACAUAAUUCUGCUGGAAGGAGCUGUUACGCAACAGUGUUGACAGGGUCUUUGUGACCUGAAUAUCUCAGGUAAUAUCUUAACUGUGCUCGAGUCCUCUGGAAGGAAGCCUAGGUGGGAAGUUAUACCGCAAGAAGUAGAUAGACGAUAAAUGCAUGUUGGAGUGGAAAUGUGAAAUACCUUUUCACACCUUUUCUCUAUCCAGGCCAUAGUGGGGUCAGUGAGCUCUGUUCUGAAGCUAUUCAUCUUUUAGUGGUAGGCCUAUAUCAGUCUCGGAACUACUCUUUGGUUAGAUAUAGUAUGGUUACCACAGACACAGUUCAUUUAUGCUCCUUUAUGUAAUAACGAAUGACAUUUGUUAUCUUCAAAAUGCGUCAGCUCGAUGGUUUAACAGCGGUCUUAGCGUUAACCUCGAUGAGGUGUCAUGAGGCUCAUCCAGCAGUUGAUGUGACAUAAUAAGCCAAUUCAACCAACAAAAAAAAGUCAAUUAAUAGUCAAUGUCAGUUGAACGUUGAAAUAUGACAUUGGUAUAAUGUU